ACGUGUUAAAGUUAAUGUUUUUUGAUAGGUUUAAGUGUAUUAGAUAUCACUGUGUAGUAAAUUAUAACACGUUUCUAUUAAACUUAGAUCCUGUCAGGUGUAUGUCCACGCUACAUAGUGACGUGGUCUCAUUUUUAAUGUUUUGGCACACCUCUUUUCGCUUUUAAUUGAUAUACUCAGCCAAUUAAUCAAGUACAUCUAGAAGUAAGAGUUCAAUGGGAUAAUUGCUAAGUAACUGGGUUUUUUCAGUUUAAUGAUAACGUGUUUUAAUCGUCGGGUGGCGAUAUUUGUUAAUCGUUUUGUGUAAUUCUGCAGUCAGAAAGAGCUCCGUGUCCUAAGAAAAAAAUUCUUCUGUAGACUGAUUUAUUAGCCAGCCAAAAGUAAUUGAUCCCCGAUUUCCAUCGCGCAUUUCGUCCCCAUUGCCCCCAGAACACUAAAGAUAGGAAACGUCAAGACGUUAAUCAUCUGCCCUUUUGCAAGAUUUAAGCAAAGUGUUGUCACGCUUAACCGGUUUAUCCCUGCUACGCACAUGUCAUUAUUUAACGAACUCCAAUUGAUUUGCGUUAGGUUUUACUUGAUUAUGAAACUAACUUCGCUUUCCAAAGCAUUAAAGCGUGAGUCCCAUCUUAAGGUGGGAGUCCCAUUUAGUAAAUUGAAAAUGUAUUUGAAAUAUACUGUUACUUUUACGCUUUCAAAGGGGCAGCGCAUGGAAUUUUAGAUCUUGUAUUUACACCCAAUAUUGAUUAACAAGUUUAAACCAGUUAGAUAGGCGAAUCACCAUAACAUCACAUUAAGCUGAUGACCCUGUACUGAUUUGUGGCCGACUUGGGGUGGAAAUUUAAGAAAACGAGUUGAAUUCAAGUUCUUUUUAGGUUUGCACUCAGCUACGGAGGUUAAACUGUUCAAUGAACAGGGGUCCAUGUGCCAAUCUAGAAAGCGGUUGGUGGUUAUAAACUGUUUGUCACGCAAGCAGUUUGAUGACAAGCCAAUUUGGAGUGCCUUGUCCAUCAUCAGGGUACCAUUGAAACUGUUUCAGGAAGCGUUAAUACCACCAAUGAUCAUCGCUUGUAGAAAUUACGACUUCCCUCUUAUUGGCGGGGACGCAGGACCACCAAACGACAAGCUCGAACGAUCAAGUUCUAUCGCCGACCUAAUGAAUGUUAGUCGUCCCUUUUUCUAUACAUCAGGAACAGGCAGAUAUAAACAACCUACAAGGAACAGCAGAACCCGCAAGUCAUCAUGAAACACUGACUCACAACCGCCGAGGAAAAUUCCAUGCCAUCACGCGCCUGCACGCCAUCCAAUCAGCUCGCCAGUCACGAGCCGAACAUUACGUUUGAAAAGGAGAGCCAAGGGGAUAUAUGGGAGGAGACGGAAAAAGGUCGGAUUUGUUUGCUGUUCAACUAGGGUACGUCGGCUUGGUUUUCCACACGGUAAUCGUCGCCUUUCAUCCCAUUUUGAUAAAGGAGUCCGCAAACAAUUUGCAGAUGGGGGUUUUUGUUUGGAUUUUUACUCGUGUUGAUGAUGCUCGAUGAACGUAUCUAAUUUUUUUUGUCUUCAACGUUGCUGUGUCGCCACAGGCUGUCGGCGCGCUGAUAAUGAUCAGAUAAUUAUCUCUUUGUACGUAUGGCAACGGCCGCCAGGAAAACGUUGCUGAUGUCAAAACUGUUGGCGCUUAUUGGCCGUAACAUUGAACGGGCGACGGAAGAAAAAGUUGUUCAAGAAGAAAAUUGAGUGAUGGAAAGUAUUUUUACAAGAAGAAACAGUUAGGAUGUGAAGAUUUGCGACUCGAGUGAGGGUGGCGGUCAGGUGCGAUUGGAGAGUAGUGUUCGACUGGCCGCUUAACCGUACAUCUCGCCUGUCUAUAUAUACACACGGCAGUGGGUCGGCGUUCUCUUUUCCUCGUUUUCUUGGAUAGCUUUGCCACUCGCGCGCCAUUGCCUUUCGACUACUUUACGAUACGACCGGAACUCGGGCGGAGACCCAGCGUUUGCUGAGAUGCGCAUCACUGACACGACACCACAACAUCUUUCUUUUGGGGAGAUAAGGCUUUUCUUUUCCAACGGAAAUUGCAAAGAUAUCCUUCUGUAGAGAUGACAUUUGCUAUUCACGUCGGGUCGAUUUCUCCGGACCAACAGUCGUCCCAAAUGUCUUUCAGCAAAGCGGGUCACCAUUAAAUGGAGGCUGUCUUCCCUUUAUUGUCUUUUAUAUAUCAAUGUUAGACUUCCUCUUUCAUCUCGCUGUGCAGCUUAAUGGCUGUGUAACAUUCUUAUACAUGGGGAGAGACACCACUCUAUAGUAGAUACUUGCUGCCCAAGAUUCUUCAUCAUUUUUCUUUUUUUUUUCUUAGGCAAUGUCCCAGGGUAUAUAGGAUUUGCCCCGUGCUUUCUUACAAUGACUUUUGAGGACAAGGGUUCGGUCUUUUAUCGCUCACCAUUUAUCAAGAACUUUUCUUUCGGGAAGAAGAAAAUGCUGCGGUGAUGGGCGAUGUGUCAUCAUAUCGUUUCCCGUUAAAGAUUAAAAGAGAUAUUAAGAAAUCGAUUACGGUUUUUAGACAUAAUGGGGAAUGGCUUUUGAAUGCUGAAAGGAGCUUUACAAGCAAAGAAUGCGCUAACGAUGGAGGCUGUUGUAUCAGCUAAUAUUAUGCUGUCCGUAUAGCAUACAGGGCACAGUGAUAUGGAAUUUUCCCGUAUUGCUGUUGGGUGUUUUUAAUUAGCAUAUGUCGACGAGGAAUGUUUGUUCUUCAUGAGGAAAAAUGCGUAUUAAAGACUACAUCCAAGAGAAGUAUUUUUUUAACUUGUUAAUAAUUGAUCACGGUUUUUCCCUGUCAUUGUAUACAAACAUGUCUGUAUUAGUAGACUUGCCUUGGGGCGAUGUUUCAUGUGAGUUCAACAUUGUAGAGUAGAAACGCGGCAGUAGACAAAGCGUCUGAUGAUUACGAGCUUCGUGAAUUAGCAGGUACACACCUGAAGGUAAAAUAAAAUAGUUCAAUCAUAA
Molecule: long non-coding RNA, 2997 nt
Organism: Daphnia carinata
Lineage: Eukaryota; Metazoa; Arthropoda; Branchiopoda; Diplostraca; Daphniidae
Exons: 7
Source: RefSeq, a predicted model, not a curated record